This 253-nucleotide ribosomal RNA is filed under the name uncultured bacterium. RNAcentral describes it as "partial 16S ribosomal RNA". It matches the Rfam family "Bacterial small subunit ribosomal RNA", at positions 524 to 776 of the family's 1533-position model. The record is from RNAcentral.
UACGUAGGGAGCGAGCGUUGUCCGGAAUCAUUGGGCGUAAAGCGCGCGUAGGUGGCUUCGUAAGUCCGCUGUGAAAGUCAAAGGCUCAACCUUUGAAAGCCGGUGGAUACUGUGGAGCUAGAGUCCGGAAGAGGCGAGUGGAAUUCCUGGUGUAGCGGUGGAAUGCGCAGAUAUCAGGAGGAACACCAAUAGCGAAGGCAGCUCGCUGGGACGGUACUGACACUGAGGCGCGAAAGCGUGGGGAGCGAACAGG